RNAcentral lists this small RNA (21 nucleotides) under Arabidopsis thaliana (thale cress). RNAcentral's name for it is "ATSL251480". Lineage: Eukaryota; Viridiplantae; Streptophyta; Magnoliopsida; Brassicales; Brassicaceae. The record is from RNAcentral.
UUUGGUUUUUGUUUUUCUUCU